GAUGAACGCUGGCGGCGUGCUUAACACAUGCAAGUCGAACGGAAAGGCCGCUGCUUGCAGGGGUACUCGAGUGGCGAACGGGUGAGUAACACGUGGGUGAUCUGCCCUGCACUUCGGGAUAAGCCUGGGAAACUGGGUCUAAUACCGGAUAGGACAAUGGUUUGGAUGCUGUUGUGGAAGGUUUUUCGGUGUGGGAUGAGCUCGCGGCCUAUCAGCUUGUUGGUGGGGUAAUGGCCUACCAAGGCGUCGACGGGUAGCCGGCCUGAGAGGGUGUACGGCCACAGUGGGACUGAGAUACGGCCCAGAGUCCUACGGGAGGCAGAAGUGGGGAAUAUUGCACAAUGGGCGCAAGCCUGAUGCAGCGACGCCGCGUGGGGGAUGACGGCCUUCGGGUUGUAAACUCCUUUCGCUAGGGACGAAGCGUUUUUGUGACGGUACCUGGAGAAGAAGCACCGGCUAACUACGUG
This 467-nucleotide ribosomal RNA is filed under the name uncultured bacterium. RNAcentral describes it as "partial 16S ribosomal RNA". It matches the Rfam family "Bacterial small subunit ribosomal RNA", at positions 28 to 507 of the family's 1533-position model. The record is from RNAcentral.